GACGAACGCUGGCGGCGUGCUUAACACAUGCAAGUCGAGCGGAAAGGCCCUUCGGGGUACUCGAGCGGCGAACGGGUGAGUAACACGUGAGUAAUCUGCCCUUGGCUUUGGGAUAACUACCGGAAACGGUGGCUAAUACCGGAUACGACAACCGUCUGCAUGGGCUGGUUGUGGAAAGUUUUUUCGGCCAGGGAUGUGCUCGCGGCCUAUCAGCUUGUUGGUGGGGUAAUGGCCUACCAAGGCUUCGACGGGUAGCCGGCCUGAGAGGGUGACCGGCCACACUGGGACUGAGACACGGCCCAGACUCCUACGGGAGGCAGCAGUGGGGAAUAUUGGACAAUGGGCGGAAGCCUGAUCCAGCAACGCCGCGUGAGGGAUGACGGCCUUCGGGUCGUAAACCUCUUUCAGUACCGACGAAGCGCCGAUGAUGGUGGUGACGGUAGGUACAGAAGAAGCACCGGCCAACUACGUG
RNAcentral lists this ribosomal RNA (472 nucleotides) under uncultured bacterium. Its description in RNAcentral is "partial 16S ribosomal RNA". It matches the Rfam family "Bacterial small subunit ribosomal RNA", at positions 28 to 507 of the family's 1533-position model. The record is from RNAcentral.